GAAUGCUGACAUAAGUAACGAUAAAGCGGGUGAAAAGCCCGCUCGCCGGAAGACCAAGGGUUCCUGUCCAACGUUAAUCGGGGCAGGGUGAGUCGACCCCUAAGGCGAGGCCGAAAGGCGUAGUCGAUGGGAAACGGGUUAAUAUUCCCGUACUUGGUGUUACUGCGAAGGGGGGACGGAGAAGGCUAUGUUGGCCGGGCGACGGUUGUCCCGGUUUAAGCGUGUAGGUGUGUGUUCCA
Molecule: ribosomal RNA, 239 nt
Filed under: Salmonella enterica
Lineage: Bacteria; Pseudomonadati; Pseudomonadota; Gammaproteobacteria; Enterobacterales; Enterobacteriaceae
Also listed under: 2 other names
Description: partial 23S ribosomal RNA
Rfam family: Bacterial large subunit ribosomal RNA
Source: RNAcentral